RNAcentral lists this unclassified non-coding RNA (432 nucleotides) under Hevea brasiliensis (rubber tree). Lineage: Eukaryota; Viridiplantae; Streptophyta; Magnoliopsida; Malpighiales; Euphorbiaceae. The record is from RNAcentral.
GGAGAGAAGGUUGUUUUUGAAUUGCAUUCUCAUUCCAAAUGCAGUGAUGGGUUCUUGUCUCCUUCCAAGCUUGUGGAGAGAGCUCAUGGGAAUGGGGUGAAAGUUCUUGCUUUGACAGAUCAUGACACGAUGGCUGGUAUCCCUGAAGCUAUGGAAGCAGCUCGGAGAUUUGGCAUCAAGAUAAUCCCGGGUGUUGAGAUCAGCACUAUAUAUUCUCCUAGAAAUACUGAAGCAGAGGAGCCAGUGCACAUUCUUGCAUAUUACAGUUGCUGUGGGCCAGCAAAAUUUGAGGAACUGGAAAAUUUAUUGGCUAACAUACGAGAUGGUCGUUACCUUCGUGCAAAAGAUAUGAUCUUGAAGCUCAACAAACUCAACUUGCCUCUUAAGUGGGAACAUGUUGCCAGGAUUGCUGGCAAAGGAGUUGCUCCUGGG